AUUUAACAAGUUUUUUUUGAACAUAUAUUUCCUGCUACAACUAUUUAAAAAUGCGUGGUUUCUGUUUCUAAAGCCUCCCACACCUGUGAUUUAUGAAGGUCAAGUAGGCCUGCUGGCUUUAACCUCUUGCAUUGAGUUUACUCGCAUUGCUCAAAAAGACACUUAAAACCGUUCAUAUAACGAUGCUUAUUGUUGGUGGCUCAACAAUACAAGUUAUGAAAGCAAGUUUUGCUUACUAGCGUUGAACGUUAGGAGAAGUUCGUUCAUACAGCGACAUCCUGUAAAGGAAAUUUAAAUCCAGGGGAAACUUAGAAUUACCUGUAUCUUCAGUUCUAAUGAUUAUGUAACACAGUUAAACACUAGGCGUUAAUGUAUUCUGUUAUAAAAAUGUAUGCUUCAAAAAUAGCUACAUAAAAUGUUUAUGGUAUGCAAAGUAUGGGAAAAUGGAGUCAAUGGAUAUACUGAUAGUACUAAAAUAUUGUCGUAUGCCUAUUACUAAAGCUACCAAGUCAUGAGCUAGAACAAAAGCCUUCUUUUUGGAAUGGAAGCAUGAAAAAAGUGGCAUUGUCUUGCACUAAGGUAGCAUCUGGCUUUGUGUCAACAGCCUGAGAUAUCUGUGUUGGAUUUUUUGAGUCUGUCAUUGAACAUAUGUCUGUACACUCUAAUCUAGUGACCAGUGAACACUGAGACAUUGAAGAUAAAUCCACAAUUAAUUUAAUAAUCACCACAUCCACCAUCACCACAGUCAGUAUAGGUACAGAAGGGUUGAGGAGCUGAAAAUACAAAAAAAAAAAAAAGGAUAUGACACGGAAGAAUGACAUCAAUGUGUCCCAAUGGAUAUUCAACACAAAGGUUUAUAACUAUACACCAGUUUUAAGUGCUUCACUAUACACACUGGACAUCUCACACCGCAUCAUUUUACAGCCCAAGUUCAACAAUAACUGGAUAUUUACAAAUCUUAAAUCUACGAAACGCCUGCAGUAAUGACUACAUUCUAAACCUUGGAAAUUCCAAUUGUAAAUGUGUCGUGUGUAGUUGAGAAUGAUGCCUUGUGCUAUUCAAUACGUUACUAGGUGACAACUUCAGAGAGGGUGCAUGAAAUGAUCAUUUCAUGCACAAUGUGUCCUCCUUAAUGAAUUUCAGCAAUGGAAAUGCCAAAUGUAAAGAUUAAAGAUGACAAUUUUGCACGGAAGAAAUUUUUCUGCUUGUCAUGUCAGUGUCAGGUUCUUUUAAUAUCAAUAAGAGAGAGGGAAGGGAGGCAGAAAAAUGGAGAU
Molecule: long non-coding RNA, 1274 nt
Organism: Anguilla rostrata (American eel)
Lineage: Eukaryota; Metazoa; Chordata; Actinopteri; Anguilliformes; Anguillidae
Exons: 2
Source: RefSeq, a predicted model, not a curated record